UGAAGAGAGUCACUGUGUAUAUUAAGGUGUCCAGUGCCAUCUAAGACCUUCUGCUGGAAGAGAAGGUUUGGUGAGAACUGAGGAAAGCCCUUUGACAGGAGCAGACAGCAGCCUUGCAGCCUGAGAAGGCACGGCCAACAUCACCUGUAAGGAGAGGGACCUCAGCAGGCUUGGCCAAUUCCUCCCAGUCCCCACCAGCGACGCUCCUCUGUGGCAGUCAGGUACUGGGGCAGCUCUGUGCUGCUGUGGGUACAAUCCACAGCCAGGACUUGCAGCGAGUGUCUGUGAAACUGAGGCGUGUGAACCUGUCCUGUGAUCAGCAGACAAGCAGGCAGCCUUCCCCACAGCCUCCACCACCUGAGCACCGCUGUGCUGGGGAAGGGCUGCCUCGCUCCCCGAGGCUGGGCUGGGAAAAGAUCCAGAAGCCACGCUGAGGAAGGGCUGCGGUGCUGCACUGCUGCCAGGAAAUCUGAACCCUCCAGGCAGGUCUGAAGCUCAGACGAAGCUCAUUAGGGCUCAGCUAUGUAAGGGGUUUUUCCCUGUCCGAUGGUCUCGUGCACCAGCUGUGUCACCUGCAAUGUGCCCCAGCUCGUUUGCAGAGCAAACCUGAGGAGUUUAGGGUUGGGCAGGCACUGUACAAGGAGAAGAGGAAGACUCCUGUGCCCAGAGUACUGAUGCUGGUGAGAAGGCAGAUGUUUUGUUCCAAUGUUUGUUCUUAUUAAUGAAAGGAAGAGGGUCUUUAGAAUAGGUCUUCCUGCAUUUCAGCUGCUUUUUAUAAAGCCUCUGGAAAGUUUCCAGUCUGAUAAUGAUGGGGGAAUGCUGCUCCCAAGAUAUAUUUUGCAUUAAGUGAGUCUGGGAGAAUCGAGGUGGAGACAAGGAUCUCAGGUGCCGAACCUAACAACUCCCACCUGCGUGCCUUAGGAGUCAUGCUCCAUCUUGUGCUCUUUGUGAUGCAAUGAAUGGUUCAAGCUGAGCUAAAAGCCCAGCCCAAAUUCAGGAGUAGAAAGUAAACCCGCCCAGCUCCUUGUGGUUAGGAAAAUGCCUGUGAAGUGAGGGAGGUGGGUUCAAAACCCCGAGGCUGGUAAUGGAAACUAAUUCAAGCAUCUCGUUUGCUGGGCAAGUUCCCU
Molecule: long non-coding RNA, 1127 nt
Organism: Cyanistes caeruleus (blue tit)
Lineage: Eukaryota; Metazoa; Chordata; Aves; Passeriformes; Paridae
Source: RefSeq, a predicted model, not a curated record